This is a non-coding RNA of Acanthosepion pharaonis, 109 nucleotides long. Lineage: Eukaryota; Metazoa; Mollusca; Cephalopoda; Sepiida; Sepiidae. The record is from the annotation of a GenBank genome assembly.
CCAUGUCACAUUGAAACACCAAUUCUCAUCUGAUCACUGAAGUGAAGUAGUGUCAAGCCUGAUCAGUAACUAAGAUGGGUAACUGCUUGGGAAUACCAGGUACUGUAAG